Molecule: long non-coding RNA, 1353 nt
Organism: Erinaceus europaeus (western European hedgehog)
Lineage: Eukaryota; Metazoa; Chordata; Mammalia; Eulipotyphla; Erinaceidae
Exons: 2
Source: RefSeq, a predicted model, not a curated record
GCCAGGAGUCCAGGGCUCCAGGAUCCAGUGGACAGAGGCACCUCUUUUGCAUAAAUCACCACGUAUUGUGUCUCUUGGCUCAGCCACCAGAUCCAGCCGCAAAAGACUGGCCCAGAAGGUGGCUCAAGCAGCAGAAGCAAACAGAUGGAACAAAUCAGCAGUGUUGGGGCAGGCCUAGCACAAGACCUCGCUGUGAGACGGUGAGCAAACAGCCCGCUGGAGUCUGUUCCUGGAUGACACUGGGCCCAGGCCUAGCUCACAGGAUCUGUGUCUCGAGCUCACACUGUCAUCACUGCUGGAGGAGCACGUGACCUUAAUCUGGAGAAACCCAUCACGGAGACCCGCCCUGGGACUUCCAGAAGGAAACUCCCUCCUGCACUGUGCUGCGUGGGUGGACGCCUGGACUGGACCCUGGCCAUAGUGCUCCUGGUAUGGGGCCAACCUAGGGGAGCCCAGAGCUGGGUCCUGAAGCAUCUUCAGGCUCACAUUCAAGCCACAUCUUAGCUAAGUGUGCUCAUGAACUUGGCUCAAGCCAGUGACUGAUUGAUUUCUUUUUUUUUUUAAUUUUUUUUAUAUUUAUUUUAUUUAUUUUUUCCCUUUUGUUGCCCUUGUUGUUUUAUUGUUGUAGUUAUUGUUGUUGUUGUUGUUGUUGUUGGAUAGGACAGAGAGAAAUGGAGAGAGGGAGGGGAAGGCAGAGAGGAGGAGAGAAAGAUAGACACCUGCAGACCUGCUUCACCGCCUGUGAAGCGACUCCCCUGCAGGUGGGGAGCCGGGGUUCGAACCGGGAUCCUUAUGCCAGUCUUUGUGCUUUGCGCCACCUGCGCUUAGCCCGCUGUACUACAGCCCGACUCCCGACUGAUUGAUUUCUUAAAUGUAAACCAGAGAAAGUUGAGUUUUCUGCACCAGCUCACUCUGGUUGAGUGACCCAGGAGGUGAUGCAGUGUUUAGAGCACUGGAAUUAUAAGCACAAGGUUCUGAGUUCAAUCCUUGGCAUCAAAUAUGCCAGAGUGAUGAUGCUCUAGUUCUCUCUCUCUGUAUUUAUUUAUUCUUUUGUCUAGAGACAGAGAAAUCAAUCAAGAGAGAAGGAAGAAGUAGAGGAGAGAGACAAAGUGACACCUGCAGCCCUGCUACAUUACUCAUGAAGCCCCCCCCCACCCAAGGUAGGGAGUGGGGGCUUGAACCUGGGUCUUUGCACAUUGUACAUAUAAUCGUAUAUAUCUUUGAAAGAAGUAUUCAAACUUCACCUUAUUGUUCAUGUAAUAAUAAUAAAAACAAAAUAUAGAAUAAAUUAGCCCGAGGAGCGGGGGCAUCUCUGCAGUGUUCUGCCCUUACUCCCAAGCCAAAGAGUAAGAA